GAAUGCUGCUCACCGCUUCUGGGAGGAAUAUUCACACGGCCGGUGGAACACAGACUCUAGAGUGAAGUACUAUCAUUCAAGAAAACAACAAGCUGAAAUGUAAAAAGAAGGAUUUCUAGUUUUCGGACCUCAGGUUUCCAUGUGGGACGGCUUCCUGUAGAGUAACACACCUGCUCUCUCUCUCCACAUCUCACUUAUUCUCUUUCCUUACAUAAAUGAAUUGUAUAUUGUAUUGGGGGGGUUCAAAGAAAUAUUUGGGCAUGAUUAGCCCAUCUUGUAGUGGAUUAAAUACUGUGGGGGAAUAAAGCUCUGCUGUCCUAAGCCAUCAAGUUCAUGGUGAUUUGUUACAACAACCCUGGGAAACAGCUCCAUCAUCUUUCUUUUUGGAUCAAGGUCUGUCUUCAAGAAGCAUACGUGCUGGUCUGUUCUCUGCCACGUGGUCAUCUAGCUUUGUCUAUGAGGAGUGUUGAAUCUGUCUAAUUCAGGUUCAGCAAUUAAUUUUCCCAAAUGCAAUUAAUUAUCAUUUAAUAUAUAAAACAUGUAAUAAUAAUGGCUAAUGUUCCAAUGUAACUGAUUUUCGUAACAAAAUGGAUAUAGUUUCUAAUCAAACUGAACAGAAAAGUGUUGUCUAGAAGAAAGCCCCUACCUUGGAUGCUUUUUCAUCAUAGUUUGUGUCUCCGUUCUCUCUUUAUAACUUGUGGGACUACAAAGCAGGCCUUUCAAGUGUUAGUGAAUUUGUGAGGGAAAAUCAGUUUAAAAAAUGUAGCAACGAUAUGUACGUUCUCAGUUCUACAAGGAGAAAUGAUUCUAUUCUGCUGCCCUCCUCAGGGGAAAUGGCAAAGGUGAAAAAUGCGAAGGAUGCAGCAGGCAUUGUUAGCUUUGUAAACUGACAUGUCGAAUUCCCUACUUUGCUGUACAUUUUCUCCUCACUUUCUCUGUAGUUGAUUGGAUGAGAAAGUACCUGUCCUGGCUUCAGACACUAAAUAAGCUGGAGAAACUGUUGAAAAUACUGUCUUAAAGUAUACAUGUACCAUGUUAUAAUACUUGAAAAUAUGAAGACACAUAUACAUUUAUUUAUAUAUAACAUUAGUAAAUAUAUUGUAAAGAUAUACUAUUAUAUGUACUUAUAUUUGUAAAUGAAUACAGCCUAUUAUUUUAGUGAAAUAUUAAAUUUCCACUUGCAUUUUAUCUUACUAGUUAUGUUCAAACUAAAGCUUAAGCAUGCUUUCUGGUUCAUGCGAUUCUGAAUAAAAAGUUUCUCAGUGGUAAAUAACUCACCAAAAAUAGUUCUGCCUCUAUUAAAGCACCAUCACACUGUAUUACAGGUAUUUAUUCAUCUGAUUUCCCCUUCUUAAGAGAAAUAAGGGACAAUGUUUUGUCUCUAUAAUUUAGUUUUAUCCCUUAGAGCCUACCAUAAAGUGGGUGUUGAAAACUUUGUAAGUUUUAGGGGAAAAAAAAUGAAUGGAUUAAUGAUGUCAGCAAACUCUGUUUCCAAAUAUCUUAACUGCUUCCAGAGCUGUUGAUAUUAAAUGUCUUUAAAAUUUGUUAAUGGAAUCCAAUAUUAUCCUCCACUCUCCACUAACUCUCCAAAAUUUGAAUACCAGCUAGUGACAGAAUGAGAGUCACCAUUUCAAUGGCACUUCUAUUCAUCGACCUUACAAAUAAGACCUCAUAUUCACUAAGAAUGCACUCACUGUAAGGUGAGUCACUUAAUCCUGACUGAAUACCAGGAAGAAGGAUUACAAAAGUUAUUGUGCCAGUAAUGCUAUUGUUUGUCCACUUGCUGUGACCUAAAAUGUUUUCAUUUAUGAAGGACAAGUGGGGGAGGCUAAAACUGGCAUAAUGCUUUCAUAUAUGAUCCUAUUUAAAGUGAAGAAGUCCCUGCUUGUAAAUUUCAUGGGACACAACUGAGGGAAAUAGUCUCUGUAAGGAAAUUCAUUUCCAAAACAGAUGUACAUUUAACUAUGAGCAUUAUCUGCUAAAGGGAGGCCUCAUCAUGAAUCUGUGGCAGAUUUGUUCUUACUAAUGCUUACAACAAACAAGGAUAGACUGCCAGGUGACCUAACAGGGACUGACUAGUUCAUGUCUUCUCAGCAAAGACCCAGAACUGUGCACUGAGAGAAUGACAGGGAUAAUCAGAUAAGCACAUUAUUUGGAGAUCUGAAAGCAGGAUAAUUUGAUUGGGGCUGGAAUCGAAUAGUUACAUAGGAUAGUAAAAUGAAGGAUAUUAGCUGACCAGGGGCAAGUCAUCUAGGAAAACCAGGAAAUGAGAACAUCAGAGUUGCUCAGAAACCAUACACAGAGGAUUUAAGGGGAUUUCUAUGAAUGACAGCUGAAUAUGGUAUAAAAUGAUGGCUAAGCUACCUACACAAAUACAGAUACAGCCUAGUAUGAUCAGGGUAAAAUAAUGCUGAGACUCUUAUGGGUUAUCCCACCCCUUUCGGGUCCUGCAGAAGUGUCACAAUUAUGUAGUCUUAUCUCAAUCAGCAGACUAACCUUCAUGCCAACCCCAUAAAAAGUCACACCUGACUCCCUUUGUUCUUAGUUCUGCCUCGAGUCCUUACACUGACCCAACACCCCUUCACCUUCCAGUUCUGUUCCUCAUGUUUCUGACCUCUGACCUUGUGACUCCUUUUCCGAUGAUAGUUCCAACUGUUUCCAGACUUAACCUCAGCAUUGCUGCCAAUGGUAUUUUUGUUUUGUUUUGUUCGUUACCGAGAGAUGGAUUUCUUCUUUGUCUCAGCUGCCAUGAGUUACUCUGUAAAUAACCUGAAUGAUCCAGCCAAGAUUUGAGACCUUGUCUAUCACCACAUACCCUUGAAGACAGGUGUACAUGAUAUUUUCAGAGGAACCAGAUCAUGAGAGAACACUCAAAUUGGAGACAAUUUCUGGGUAGAACUUCUAACUUCAAACCUGAGCCCCACAUUUAUUAUAGUGAUAAGGAUAUGGUAAAGACACCUUUCAAUAUGGCAAAAUUUCUACAUGUCUGUUCUCACAGGAAGGUCCAAAGCUCAUUUAGCUCUUCAAAUUAAUACAUAAUCUAUAAUCAUUUUGCUCCUCAUAUCUGGAUGGGAAAGAUGUUUAAUGGAUAAAUAAGAAUGUUUCUGUUUGUUGGUCUCUUUAUACGUCAUAGGAAAGGGUGCUUUUUUACUCCAACUCAAUCUUUUCUUGGUAUUGUUAUCAAUCAUGUUUGGAUCCCCCAACUUCAUAUUCUUGAAACUUUUAAAAAAUACCUUCCUGAGAAUUUGGAUGAGAGGCAAAAGUCAAGUGUGGGGAAGUCAAGAUCUAUCUCAGACCAAGUGUUGGUGUCAAUCAUCACAAGACUUUUGAGGUCAUUUGAUUUCAUUCCUUCCAGAAAAGCCACUGUUUCCAUUCAAAUUCCUGCCAGCCAGUUUUUCAGCCUCUGCUUGCACUUUACAAGUAUCAUUUUUCUAGAUUAUAAUUCACUUUUCACGUUCACCAUGGAGUAAAUGGUAGAGAAAAGAGAUGGGAAAGAUCACAUGCUUCAGUCCUGAAACAUGAUCAACCACGGAAACCCAGGGGCCUUAUUGAUUUAGUAUUAGUUUGAGGGGAGGGACCUUACUGGGUGUGUCUUUAACACAGAUAUUUUAAGUGUGACAAAAAGAUCUUGGAAUGGACAAAAUGUAAUAUCUAUGAAUUGUUGAUCAUGGUUUACUGUGUCAAGCACUGUGCUAGGUACAUACGGCAUGCAUUAACUCAUUUAUUCUUGAUAAUUCUGUGUUUAUCCAUCUUGCAAAUGAAAAAACAGUUUGUUAUACAUAAUGCACUUACUCAAGGUUACCAAGCCAGUAAUGGAUAGUCCCAUGUUCUUUAAACUCAACACCAAGCUCGUGCUCUCUCGCUGGAGCGAUAGUAGAUGAAAUCUCUCAUUUACUAGCCUUAAGACCGCUGAAUGGAACUGGAGUUUACAUGAUUUCCUUGAAUACAAGCAUCUGCUCCAAUGGCUUCUAAAUAAUUUACUCCCCAAAUUACACAUUUUUCAUUGCCUAAGAUCAUCGAAUUCUCAAAAUUUAGACCCAAAGUUCCACUGAAACCACAGAAUCUUAUCUGUUGACUGCUCAUGUUUUCUUAAUCCUACUGAAUACUAUUCUGACCUCCAAUUCCUUGAAAUCCCUCGUUUUCUUUUCACCUAUGCCCUUAUGUAUCUUCACUUUCUUUUCUACUGAAGUUGAAUCCACUCACCCAUCUCCACAUGUGCUCUUUCACCAAAAACUUUUCUGUGGUAUCCCUCUGCCUCUCUAUUUUGCCAGUUCAGUUCUCAAUUAAUCACUGCUUGCUCUAACACUGUUCAGAAAACCAUACCACCUUUCUAACUGUAUCAUGGCAAGGAUCUAGGAUCCACCAGCACCCCUGAGAGGGUUGUUUUGUUUUUGUUUUUGUUUUUUGUGUGUGUGUGUGUGCUCUCCUACUUACCUUCCUUUCGCAUGUCUCAUAGUGUUUCUUCCAAACUCUAAUUAUUGUUAUUGGUUCCUUAUUCCAAGCCUGCCUUAUUCUUAGUAGAAGAGCUUGUUUCCUAAUUUCCAGAGAAAAUAGAAGACUAAGGCCCUUCCCCCAUGUACUUGUGUCAGUCACCCUAAGUAUCUACAAGACUCACUCCCUCACCUCUUUUAAGACAUGUCUUCCCCCCACCCAAUUCCAACCACCCUAUUUAAAUUAAAAGCAUCUUCUUCCUCGGCUGACUUGGUCCUCAGGUUUCUUCUUAAAGCAAUCACUUUCUAACACACUCUCUCAUAUAUAUAUAUAAAUAAACAUAUAUAUAAUGUUUAUUGUUAUUGUUUAUCUCCACCAGGUAGAAUAUAAGCUCCCCUGGAAGCUUUGUCUAUUUAGUACACUGAUGUACUUCAAGCACCUAAAACAGUACCUGGCUUGUGGUAGGGACCAGUAAAUAUUUGUUGGGUGAAUGAACAAAUAUGCACAAAUAUUUUGGUCCCUCACUUUCUUCCCUCUCAUAGGAAGAGGUUACUUUACCCAUCUCUAUGUAUGACAAAUCUGGAUAACUGCUACUGCAGAAAAGAUCGGGAAGAUGAUAUAAUUUGCUUGUUUACAUCUAAAUUAUGACUUUAUAAGAGAGCACUAAGGUUGCAUACUUGACAUCCAGUACAAGAAAUUUUCCCCUGUCAUUCCUUUUUCUACCUAACUAGGUCAAGGGCAGCAAAUGCAUUUGCUGACUCCCUCACCUCUGAUUAUCUCUCAGUAAAUCUGGACCAAACACAUAUCACUGCUGUACUCAAUCUCUGUCACUAAAUACACUUCCAAAACAACUGGCCUCCAGGUUGACCCAAAGGAACUGACUUCUGCUGUAUUUCAUUUUCUGUGAUAGCUUUGGCCAAUGUCUUUUGUCAAUACAAGUGAAUUUUGUGCUGAUUAUAGUCUACCAGAGACUUCAUUGACACCAGCAAGUACAUUUCUCUUUGGAACACAAGUCAAACUUGUGUUAAAGUCCCCAGUGAACAAGAAUAGUUGAGUGUAGAGCAGUAAUGUAAUCGACUAUUAUCCCCUUUGGCUAAAAACUGUUCACAUGGAAUCCACAGCCUGCAAAAUACAAUGCAAACACAUGCUAAUUACCUAUUUCCUGGGAUAAAAUAUGAUUAUAAAAAAUACUCUGUCAAGUAGACUGUAACUACAAAUACUGCAUUCCCAUACUUUGUCAGAGAACCCUUCUUAGAAGAUCUACUGCCUAUACCCUGAGGGCGUAAGUCCCACCGAACAAAUACAUCUUUUGGUAAUAUUUGAAAAUGUUAUUAUGGCCUGCCUUCUCAUUGUCCUUAAAAACAAACAAAUAAAACACAGUAGUUGUGUUCAGUCUAGUUUUGUGGUUGUCUUUAAUCCUUUUGUUGAUUCCUAUCUUUACCUGAAGUUGGUUUCAUUUUGUCUGUGCCAAAAGAUCUUUUUGAUUUUUAAGUCAAAUAUUGUAUGAAGUAGAAACAUGAUUAUGUGUUUUUUUGUAAUACUCUAUAUUUUUUUAAAAAAAGAGCAAUGAUUCAAUCUGCAACCUUUAUGUGUUGCUUAAAAGGAAUGAGGGCCAUCUGUUUGUCUGCUAUGAGGGUAAGGGAUUGAAGCAAUUUGUGGUUAAAUAAAUUAGGUGUGGAAUUGCUUUCUUUAUUGUUUCCACUGAACAAGUCUUUUCUAGCUUUUUUUUUCCUCUUUAAAUAAACUAUUGGAUUAGAGACCCCACUUCACUUAGACUAUGACAAGGCUAAACUAAGAGUCAAUUUCCAAAUCACAAAUGGAUUUUGUCAUUAAAAUAAAUGCAUUCCUAGAGUUCCUUCUGUGGCUCGGUAGUUAGUGAACCCAACUAGUAUCCAUGAGGAUGCAUGUUCAAUUCCUGGUCUCACUCAGUGGGUUAAGGAUCUGGCCUGGCUGUGAGCUGUGGUGUGGGUUGCAGAUGUGGCUCAAAUCCCAUGUUGCUGUGGCUGUGGCUGUGGCAUGGGCUGGUAGCUUCAGCUCUGAUUGGACCCCUAGCCUG
This 6487-nucleotide long non-coding RNA is filed under the name Sus scrofa (pig). Its description in RNAcentral is "lncRNA (ENSSSCG00005013489.1)". Lineage: Eukaryota; Metazoa; Chordata; Mammalia; Artiodactyla; Suidae. The record is from RNAcentral.